Heterocephalus glaber (naked mole-rat) is the source of this 313-nucleotide long non-coding RNA. The record is from Ensembl. Lineage: Eukaryota; Metazoa; Chordata; Mammalia; Rodentia; Bathyergidae.
AUGCAAUAAACUUCAACUGUAUGUGCGGCCUGGGAAGAUUGGACUGCAUGGAGAGAGCAGCAGGCUUGAUUCACAUCCUCUUCCACACCUCCACUGGAAAGAUGUUCCAUCUGAAGGACCUGAGGUCUCCUCCAUCCUACCAUGGUGACAACCUGCCUUGUCCUGAAGCCAAGAGUAUCUCUCAGAGCCCAAUGGAUGAAGCUUACCUGGGAGCUGGGACUAGGGGAGGUCAACAGAGGAUGGAAAGACUGAGGGUGUGUGGGGAAGUGGAAAUGGGCAGGGCUUCUUUGUGGGCUAAAUAGUAACUUGAAAA